CCCAGCUUUCCCACACACCCACAUCAGCCAGGACUCCCAUAGUUCUACAUUUCACCAGCCCCUCAGUAGACCUGAGAGCAGUGUCCCCAAGGGAGGCCUAGGAACAUUCUGCUCGGAUUCCUGAAGCCCACCUCAAACCCGUGAAUCAGAACUUCUAUGGGUGGUGCCUAGGGAAGGCAUGUCCCCAAACUCUUUGAAUGCUUUUAUUCCCAAGUGAUUUUGCUGGAUCCUGGAGUCUGAAAACAGCGGUCAUGGAGAACUACUUCUGGGUUCGAUAUUCAUCUCAGGUUCUACCAAAUGUGGUCAACUUUGUUCUGAAAACAACACAACUCAAAAUGGCUCACUUUACUCGUGCCUAACGUGUGCCUCAUCCUUCAAGGCACUUGAGCUGAGACCCCGGACACGGACUCCAGCAUCCCUCCGCUGGGCUGUAACUGGAAGCUAAGAGUACACCACAAAACCAGAGACAUUUUUUAGCAUCCGAUUGGGUGGUGCAACAUCUUCUUCGUACAGAUGGAGAGACGGCAGCCCAGAAAGAGGGAGAGCCAUUCUGGGGGUUACCCGGGAAGUGGGGCAUGGCCAGGGUGCCAGCCCGUCUUCCUCCAGAGCCUCGUCCAACCCUCCCCAUUCUUCACGUAACAGCUGGCACUAUUCCCCCCAGGUUCCCUUAACCUUUGGCCAUACCAAUUUUUUCUGGGUGUUUACAGUAUUCCAAGCACAGUGCUAACAAAAGUGUUUUGCCAGCAUUGUCUGAUUUCAUCGUCAUCCCUGUUUGACAAAUAAGAAAACUGAGGUUUGCAGUCACUCGGCUCAUUAGUGGAAGAGAAGGGACCUGAAUCCCGGCCUGGGGGUGCCCAGGCCCUCCGCUCUGGGCGACCUCUUACUGUAAACCGUCAGCCCUUCCAGGAAGACACCAUGCUGUUCCCAUUUUAUAGCUGGUGGGACCAAGAGCGUGAGUGGCUGGCCCAGGAUCACAUAGCUGGUGAUGGAUAGAGUGAGGACCGAAAGCUCGGUCUGGCUCCAGUGUUUCUAAACUGCGGGCUCGCUUGCUGUUUUUCCGCCCCUCAUGGA
Molecule: long non-coding RNA, 1071 nt
Filed under: Felis catus (domestic cat)
Lineage: Eukaryota; Metazoa; Chordata; Mammalia; Carnivora; Felidae
Description: lncRNA (ENSFCAG00000053701.1)
Source: RNAcentral